UUUCUUUUAUGGAGAGUUUGAUCCUGGCUCAGGACGAACGCUGGCGGCGUGCCUAAUACAUGCAAGUCGAGCGAACUUGCGGGAG
Molecule: ribosomal RNA, 85 nt
Filed under: Lysinibacillus composti
Lineage: Bacteria; Bacillati; Bacillota; Bacilli; Caryophanales; Bacillaceae
Description: partial 16S ribosomal RNA
Rfam family: Bacterial small subunit ribosomal RNA
Source: RNAcentral